RNAcentral lists this ribosomal RNA (872 nucleotides) under uncultured bacterium. RNAcentral describes it as "bacterial SSU rRNA". It matches the Rfam family "Bacterial small subunit ribosomal RNA", at positions 8 to 921 of the family's 1533-position model. The record is from RNAcentral.
AGAGUUUGAUCCUGGCUCAGGAUGAACGCUGGCGGUAUGCCUUAUACAUGCAAGUCGUACGAGAGUUUUUAACUCUAGUGGCGGACGGGUGAGUAACACGUAAGAAUUUGCCUUUAGGAGGGGGACAACAACUGGAAACGGUUGCUAAUACCCCAUAUGCUUUCGAGUGAAAUGGAUUUCCGCCUAAAGAGAAGCUUGCGGCUGAUUAGCUUGUUGGUAGGGUAAUGGCCUACCAAGGCGACGAUCAGUAUCUGGUUUGAGAGGACGAUCAGACACACUGGAACUGAGACACGGUCCAGACUCCUACGGGAGGCAGCAGUAGGGAAUUUUCCGCAAUGGGCGAAAGCCUGACGGAGCAAUACCGCGUGAGGGAUGACUGCCUAUGGGUUGUAAACCUCUUUUUUCAGGGAGGAAUAAAUGACGUGUACCUGAAGAAUAAGCAUCGGCUAACUCCGUGCCAGCAGCCGCGGUAAGACGGAGGAUGCAAGUGUUAUCCGGAAUCACUGGGCGUAAAGCGUCUGUAGGUGGCUCGACAAGUCAACUGUUAAAUCUUGAAGCUCAGCUUCGAAAUCGCAGUCGAAACUAUCGAACUAGAGUAUAGUAGAGGUAAAGGGAAUUUCCAGUGGAGCGGUGAAAUGCGUAGAGAUUGGAAAGAACACCGAUGGCGAAGGCACUUUACUGGGCUAUUACUGACACUCAGAGACGAAAGCUAGGGUAGCAAAUGGGACUAGAUACCCCAGUAGUCCUAGCCGUAAACAAUGGAUACUAGGUGUUGAACAGAUCGACCUGUGCAGUACCAAAGCUAACGCGUUAAGUAUCCCGCCUGGGAAGUAUGCACGCAAGUGUGAAACUCAAAGGAAUUGACGGGGGCC